RNAcentral lists this ribosomal RNA (775 nucleotides) under uncultured Neocallimastigales. RNAcentral describes it as "partial large subunit ribosomal RNA". It matches the Rfam family "Eukaryotic large subunit ribosomal RNA", at positions 24 to 645 of the family's 3401-position model. Lineage: Eukaryota; Fungi; Neocallimastigomycota; Neocallimastigomycetes; Neocallimastigales. The record is from RNAcentral.
GUAGUCUCGCACAGAUGCAUAUCAAUAAGCGGAGGAAAAGAAACUAACUAGGAUUCCCUCAGUAACGGCGAGUGAAGCGGGAAGAGCUCAAAUUUGAAAUCUUCAAGGUUCUACCUUGACGAAUUGUAGUUUAAAGAAGUGUUUUCUGUUGGAGUUUUGGUAAAAGUUCUUUGGAAUAGGACAUCAUAGAGGGUGAGAAUCCCGUAUUUGACCAUUAUUUCCAGCUUUGUGAUACACUUUCAAAGAGUCGGAUUGUUUGGGAAUGCAGUCCAAAAUGGGUGGUAAAUUUCAUCUAAAGCUAAAUACUGGCGAGAGACCGAUAGCGAACAAGUACCGUGAGGGAAAGAUGAAAAGAACUUUGAAAAGAGAGUUAAACAGUACGUGAAAUUGUCAAAAGGGAAGCGUUUGACACCAGUGUUGUUUUCUCGAAAAUCAAUUAAAAAAGGCAGGAUUUUGUGUUGUAUUGACUUUAUCAGCUUCCUGCACUCUUUUCUUGUCUUUUUUUAAUGCACUUUUCGUUUAACAAGUCAACAUCAAUUUCUUUUGUUGUAAAAGGGUCAUUGGAAGGUGGCUUUCUUUUCGGAGAAAGUGUUUAUAGCCUUUGGCCUCUGCAAUCGGAGAGAUUGAGGUCUGCAGCGUAGAUCCUUCGGGGUUAGAUACAUUUGUGCUAAGUUAUAGCCUUUCAUAGACAACUUGUUGACUAUGAUCAGUCAUGUAGCUUACUCGCUUAUGCUAUUUUACCUACGCUUAGGAUGUUGAAGUCAUCGUAUCGCGC